AAAGCACACAGGGGUCGAAUUUGGAAGGGCACCAAGGCAAGUUGGAAGGGCGGCAAGUUGGAAGGGCACCAAGGCAAGUUGGAAGGGCACCAAACCAAGGCAAGUUGGAAGGACACCAAGGCAAGUUGGAAGGGCACCAAGACAAGUUGGAAGGGCACCAAGGCAAACGUUUUGUUCAGAAGAUGGUACAUCUCUUAAUCCUGCAACUUUGAAGAUACAUCAGUAAAAGGCUGCUUUCAAAGAAGCAAUAUUUUGUGGAUCAGAUCAAAACGUUGAAGGUUCUCUGUCUUAAGAGAAAUAUGUCUAGCAGUGAUGAUAGAUUUGUCGAACGUGAGGUCUCGUCAAAACAUUGUGAAAGCAACCCUCAUCUGGCAGAAGAAACUAAACCACAUUCUUGCGAGAAGCCUUUCCAGUGUGGGAUGUGCUUGAAGUGUUUCUCUUACAAGAGUAAGAUUAAGCACCAUAUGAGGAUCCACACUGGUGAACGACCAUAUCAGUGUGGGGUGUGCAGAAAGUGUUUUCUUGAGAAAAGAUACGUGAAAAAGCAUAUAUUAAUUCACAAUGGAGUUAAGAAUUUCAAAUGUGAUUUGUGUUCAAAAUCUUUCCAUAAUUCCCUCUUGAAAGUACAUAUGCUCGUUCAUACUGGUGUUAUGCCUUUCAAGUGUGAAAUGUGUGCAAAGCGUUUUUCGCUAAAUGCCAACUUGAAACAACAUAUGUUGGUUCACACUGGUGUUAAGGCUUUCAAGUGCAAGGUAUGUGCCAAAUGUUUCUCACGAAAUACCCAUUUGAAACAACAUAUGUUGGUUCACACUGGUGUUAAGAAUUUCAGAUGUGAGGUAUGUACAAAAUGUUUCUCAAAAAACCCCGACUUGAAACGACACAUGUUGGUUCACGCUGGUGUUAAGAAUUUCAAAUGUGAGGUAUGUGCAAAACGUUUCUCACGAAAUACCAACUUGAAACGACACAUGAUGGUUCACACUGGUGUUAAGGAUUUCAAAUGAGAGGUAUGUGCAAAAGGUUCCUCAAGCAAUCUGAAAUUGAAAGAACAUAUGAACAUUCACAAUAUCGAUGUGAAACAACAUAUUUUGGUUCACACUAUUGUUAAGAGUUGAAUGUAUUUGCUAAAUGUUUCUCAUACAAUGACAGCUUGAAUCAUCAUAUGUUUGUUCACACAGGUAAUACACAGUUCAAGUGUGAUGCGUGCAUAAAGUGUUUCUCUCAUGGUUAUCAGCAAAAAUAUCAUUCAUGCAAAUGAGAAACUUUUAACACGUUUAAAAUGCACAAACUGAUUUAACAUACAACACCAUCUUGAAGUACCUCCUGUCUGUUCAAAUUAAAUAGAGAGGUGUGUAGCUCAGUAGUAGUGUGAUGGGUCAUGUGAUCAACACUCGUCAAACUGAUUUAACAUCAACACCAUCUUGAAGUGCCUCCUGUCUGUUCUUAUUAAAUAGAGAGGUGUGUAGCUCAGUAGUACUGUGAUUGGUCAUGGGAUCAACACUCGUCAAACUGAUUUAACAUACAAAACCACCUUGAAUAGCCUCCUGUCUGUUCAUAUUAAUUAGAGAGGUGUGUAGCUCAGUAGAAGUGUGAUGGGUCAUGGGACAACACUCAUCAGACUGAUUUAACAUACAACACCAUCUUGAAGUGCCUCCUGUCUGUUCUUAUUAAAUAGAGAGGUGUGUAGCUCAGUAGUAGUGUGAUUGGUCAUGGGAUCAACACUCGUCAAAAUUAUUUAACAUACAACACCAUCUUGAAGUGCCUCCUGUCUGUUCUUAUUAAAUAGAGAGGUGUGUAGCUCAGUAGUAGUGUGAUUGGUCAUGGGAUCAACACUCGUCAAAAUGAUUUAACAUACAACACCAUCUUGAAGUGCCUCCUGUCUGUUCUUAUUAAAUAGAGAGGUGUGUAGCUCAGUAGUAGUGUAAUGGGUCAUGGGAUCAACACUCAUCAAACUGAUUUAACAUACAACACCAUCUUGAAGUGCCUCCUGUCUGUUCUUAUUAAAUAGAGCGGUGUGUAGCUCAGUAGUAGUAUGAUGGGUCAUGGGAUCAACACUCGUCAAACUGAUUUAACAUACAACACCAUCUUGAAGUGCCUCCUGUCUGUUCAUAUUAAAUAGAGAGGUGUGUAGCUCAGUAGUAGUGUGAUCGGUCAUGGGAUCAGCCUCCUGUCUGUUCUUAUUAAAUAGAGAGGUGUGUAGCUCAGUAGUAGUGUGAUCGGUCAUGGGAUCAACACUCGUCAGACUGAUUUAACAUACAACACCAUCUUGAAGUGCCUCCUGUCUGUUCAUAUUAAUUAGAGAGGUGUGUAGCUCAGUAGCAGUGUGAUGGGUCAUGGGAUCAACUCUCGUCAGACCUAUUUCAGGUUUUACCACUCACUAGGCCAGCUUUUCUGUAACUGUCAAUAAUAUCAUUAGUAACGACGAAGGCAAAAUGGUUGAAUAUGGACCUUUAUUCGGUGUGGGUCUUAAGGAAACAUAGCGAGGUGUGUCGCUUAACAGACGUGUGAGGCUCAUGGGAUCGAUACUCGUUAUAAGACCUAUUUUAGGAUUUAUCACUCACACUAGGUCAGCCUUCCCGUAAUUUACACAAACAUCGUGAAUAAGAACGAAGAUAAAAUGGUUGAAUAUGAUUCUUAUUCACUGUGGGUGCUAUGGCUUUGAACGGCCAAACUACAUUGGUUGUCUGGAAAAUUCAACAUGGCUUCUGCUCAUGUGUUUGUUGGUGUGUGUAUGAUUGUGCCUCUGUAUGGGACUUGUGUUACAUAUAUAUAUAUAUACAUAUAUACAUACAUAUGUACAUACAUACAUACAUACAUACAUAUGUGAUGCCUGCAAAAUAUUUAGUCACAGUAUCAGCUAAUUGUUAUUUGAUAUUGAUAACAUUUUCAAAUGUGACGUGUCUUCAAAAUGCGAGCUUAAACACAUUGUUGGUGGUUAUAAGAUUGUCAAAUGUAAUGUGUCUAUAAAAUGUCAUACAUUUGGUGCGAGCUAAAACAUAGUUAAUGUUGGCUAUAACAGUGUAAGAUUUUAAAGUGUGAUGUGUCUGCAAAGGAGUUUAGUCACAGUACAAGUUUAGAUAUAGUCCUAGUUUAUGCUGUUCAUAAAAAUUUCAAAUGUGAUGUAUCUAACGAAUGAGUUUAGACACAGUAUAAGUACUUUCAAGAUAUUGUAAGUUUAUAUUCUUAUCAUAAAAACUUUUCUUUAGGCUCUGUUUUAAAUGUUUUCACUUUUUGUGUUUUAUUUCGAGACCAAAUGUUUCUUGUGAAAUAAUAAUAAA
RNAcentral lists this unclassified non-coding RNA (3275 nucleotides) under Gigantopelta aegis. RNAcentral describes it as "gastrula zinc finger protein XlCGF71.1-like, transcript variant X1". The record is from RNAcentral. Lineage: Eukaryota; Metazoa; Mollusca; Gastropoda; Neomphalida; Peltospiridae.